UACGUAGGUGGCAAGCGUUGUCCGGAAUUAUUGGGCGUAAAGCGCGCGCAGGCGGCCUCUUAAGUCUGAUGUGAAAGCCCCCGGCUCAACCCGGGGAGGGCCAUUGGAAACUGGGAGGCUUGAGUAUAGGAGAGAAGAGUGGAAUUCCACGUGUAGCGGUGAAAUGCGUAGAGAUGUGGAGGAACACCAGUGGCGAAGGCGACUCUUUGGCCUAUAACUGACGCUGAGGCGCGAAAAGCGUGGGGAGCAAACAGG
RNAcentral lists this ribosomal RNA (255 nucleotides) under uncultured bacterium. RNAcentral's name for it is "partial 16S ribosomal RNA". It matches the Rfam family "Bacterial small subunit ribosomal RNA", at positions 524 to 776 of the family's 1533-position model. The record is from RNAcentral.